UUUCCGUAGGUGAACCUGCGGAAGGAUCAUUAUUGAAUAACCGAUGUGCGAGGUCUGACACUGACCCGAACGGUCGUUCACACCCCAGUGGUCUUACUUAUAUCCAUCUCACCCCUUCGUCUACUACCGCGAGUGUCCGCCUUUGGACUGUUCUGAGGGGGCCAUACAUUUACAAAUUAACUCAGCAUGCAUUGUAGCUCGUACUUUUUGUUUUUACGAACAAGAAAUGAAUACAACUCUCAACAACGCAUGUCUUGGCCCUCUCAUCGAUGAGGAACC
RNAcentral lists this unclassified non-coding RNA (279 nucleotides) under plant metagenome. RNAcentral describes it as "partial contains small subunit ribosomal RNA, internal transcribed spacer 1, and 5.8S ribosomal RNA". The record is from RNAcentral.